GCUAAAGAUAGUGGGCAGGAAGAGGUUGUGGAAAAAUUUCAGGGGUUUUGAAUCCCUUGAAAUUAAAUGCAAAAUGUGCCUAUAAAUUUGAGGAGGAGAAUAUUGAUAAAAUUUCAUCACAUUUUCAAAGACAUGCCUCCUGAAGGAUAAAACACCCUAACUCAGACUUUGGUGAUAAAUGCUGAAAUGUGUCCAGAAUCAUUUUCAAGAUCACACAGUUUCUAGAUAAAUGGCCAGAUGGGAGAAUUUUGCAAGUUUUGCCAUAUCUCAACAAAAUAAUUAUUACUGCUCCUGGAAAAGCUACAGCUGCGCAGUGAGGGGGAAUGGACCCAGCCUUUUUCCUGCACCCAAGAUUCCUGAACAGCCAGCUGGAAAUUCACUUAUGCCUCAGGAGACCACAGCUGCAUCUGAACACCAAGAUGAGGACCCACUAGAAGAUUCACAUCUUCAUUUGGAUAUUGAAGAAUUAAACAAGGAGUUUAUGUUGAGAAGUGAAGAACUCUAUGACUCCCUCAUGAAUUGUCACUGGCAGCCUCUGGAUACAGUCCACUCGGACAUCCCAGAUGAGACCCCAAAGUGAAGCAAGGUGUUCAGUAUCUAUCCAGAUUAACUGCAUUUGUUUUUGUUUUUGUAGGGAAAAAAAAAAAAAAAAAAAAAACCUCUUCCAUGAAUGUUCUGGAUUCUGGAUGUAAAUAAAAACUUGCAGUACCUAAAUGUUAUUGAUAUGAUGGAUUAUGAGGUACACUAACUCAUCAGCCCCUCCAUUCCUGGAAGUGUGUUACUUUAAAUAAAUGCCAGAAGAGAUGCUAUGACUAUCUUGGUAGAACAAGUUGCUCUCCGAGACAGAGGAAAACAGGUUUAAUAUAAGUUGGACUUAAAUUUAACUGAUGGUGACAUUAGCUACUCUGUUUUGUGGACUUCCUGUAACAUUAAUUUUCAUGCAAGGUUUUUCAUUUGUAUCUUGUCUAGAAAAUGUCAAUUGGAACUAGAUGUUUGUUCUCCACUGACCCUGGGGUGCUCUGUAAGAAAGCUGGUGUGACGGUGGAAGACAGUGGAGAUGAACUUGUCUCAACUGAACAGAAAGAUUCCUAAGCAUGGAAAAAAAAAAUUGCCUUUUCCAGAUUGUUGAUUUUCUAAGAGGAAAGAAUUGGGCCUUUGUAAAAGCCAGUUCUGGAAAAUAAAUAAAAGUCAGUGCAGAAACUUCAGUGAGUCU
RNAcentral lists this long non-coding RNA (1213 nucleotides) under Ictidomys tridecemlineatus (thirteen-lined ground squirrel). Its description in RNAcentral is "lncRNA (ENSSTOG00000016393.3)". Lineage: Eukaryota; Metazoa; Chordata; Mammalia; Rodentia; Sciuridae. The record is from RNAcentral.